UUGACCUCGGAUCAGGUAGGGAUACCCGCUGAACUUAAGCAUAUCAAUAAGCGGAGGAAAAGAAACCAACCGGGAUUGCCUCAGUAACGGCGAGUGAAGCGGCAAGAGCUCAAAUUUGAAAGCUGGCUCCUUCGGGGUCCGCAUUGUAAUUUGCAGAGGAUGCUUCGGGUGCAGCCCCCGUCUAAGUGCCCUGGAACGGGCCGUCAUAGAGGGUGAGAAUCCCGUA
This 226-nucleotide ribosomal RNA is filed under the name Aspergillus hortae. Its description in RNAcentral is "Aspergillus hortai partial 28S ribosomal RNA". It matches the Rfam family "Eukaryotic large subunit ribosomal RNA", at positions 1 to 225 of the family's 3401-position model. Lineage: Eukaryota; Fungi; Ascomycota; Eurotiomycetes; Eurotiales; Aspergillaceae. The record is from RNAcentral.